CUGCUGCCUCCCGUAGGAGUUUGGGCCGUGUCUCAGUCCCAAUGUGGCCGGUCACCCUCUCAGGUCGGCUACUGAUCGUCGGCUUGGUGGGCCGUUACCCCGCCAACUACCUAAUCAGACGCGGGUCCAUCCUGUACCACCGGAGUUUUUCACACCGGACCAUGCGGUCCUGUGCGCUUAUGCGGUAUUAGCAGUCAUUUCUAACUGUUGUCCCCCUGUACAGGGCAGGUUACCCACGCGUUACUCACCCGUCCGCCACUCAGU
Molecule: ribosomal RNA, 264 nt
Filed under: uncultured bacterium
Lineage: Bacteria
Description: partial 16S ribosomal RNA
Source: RNAcentral